GUGUUUCAGUGGUGUUGGGAUUCCGAGGAAGUUGAGAUUAUGUGGUUAGUGGGGAGUGGGUGUUAUCUGAUUUGUUACUAUUUUAUUUUUAUUUUUAUUUUUUUAAAAUUUUUCCUCUCUGUCUUUGAUGUUUCCUCUUUUCUCCCCUCUACUUCAUUUUUCCUCCCUCGAUUGUUCGUGGCUUUCCUCUGAUCUCUAUUGGAUUUUUCUCAUUAACUCAUCGC
Molecule: long non-coding RNA, 224 nt
Filed under: Gossypium raimondii (Peruvian cotton)
Lineage: Eukaryota; Viridiplantae; Streptophyta; Magnoliopsida; Malvales; Malvaceae
Description: long non-coding RNA (GRAI_LNC003949)
Source: RNAcentral